RNAcentral lists this ribosomal RNA (496 nucleotides) under uncultured bacterium. RNAcentral's name for it is "partial 16S ribosomal RNA". It matches the Rfam family "Bacterial small subunit ribosomal RNA", at positions 28 to 506 of the family's 1533-position model. The record is from RNAcentral.
GAUGAACGCUGGCGGCGUGCCUAAUACAUGCAAGUCGAGCGAACGGACGAGAAGCUUGCUUCUCUGAUGUUAGCGGCGGACGGGUGAGUAACACGUGGAUAACCUACCUAUAAGACUGGGAUAACUUCGGGAAACCGGAGCUAAUACCGGAUGAUAUUUUGAACCGCAUGGUUCAAAAGUGAAAGACGGUCUUGCUGUCACUUAUAGAUGGAUCCGCGCUGCAUUAGCUAGUUGGUAAGGUAACGGCUUACCAAGGCAACGAUGCAUAGCCGACCUGAGAGGGUGAUCGGCCACACUGGAACUGAGACGCGGUCCAGACUCCUACGGGAGGCAGCAGUAGGGAAUCUUCCGCAAUGGGCGAAAGCCUGACGGAGCAACGCAGCGUGAGUGAUGAAGGUCUUCGGAUCGUAAAACUCUGUUAUUAGGGAAGAACAUAUGUGUAAGUAACUGUGCACAUCUUGACGGUACCUAAUCAGAAAGCCACGGCUAACUACGU